UGCUCUGUGGUGUAACUGGCAACAUCCCUACCUUUGAAGUAGAAGAUUCCAGGUUCAAAUCCUGGCGGGGCAG
RNAcentral lists this transfer RNA (73 nucleotides) under Calothrix sp. PCC 7507. It matches the Rfam family "tRNA". From Rfam's summary of the family: Transfer RNA (tRNA) molecules are approximately 80 nucleotides in length. Lineage: Bacteria; Bacillati; Cyanobacteriota; Cyanophyceae; Nostocales; Calotrichaceae. The record is from Rfam by way of RNAcentral.